GGUCCGAUGGUGUAGUUGGUUAUCACUUCUGUCUAACACAGUCACGUGUUCUCACAGGCGGUCCUCAGUUCGAACCUGGGUCGGAUCA
Molecule: non-coding RNA, 88 nt
Organism: Mycena epipterygia
Lineage: Eukaryota; Fungi; Basidiomycota; Agaricomycetes; Agaricales; Mycenaceae
Source: the annotation of a GenBank genome assembly